GUUUGAUCAUGGCUCAGAUUGAACGCUGGCGGUAUGCUUUACACAUGCAAGUCGAACGGCAGCAUAGGUGCUUGCACCUGAUGGCGAGUGGCGAACGGGUGAGUAACAUAUCGGAACAUGUCCGGAAGUGGGGGAUAACGUAGCGAAAGUUACGCUAAUACCGCAUAUGCCCUGAGGGGGAAAGGGGGGGAUCGCAAGACCUCUCGCUUUCGGAGUGGCCGAUAUCGGAUUAGCUAGUAGGUGAGGUAAAGGCUCACCUAGGCGACGAUCCGUAGCUGGUCUGAGAGGACGACCAGCCACACUGGAACUGAGACACGGUCCAGACUCCUACGGGAGGCAGCAGUGGGGAAUUUUGGACAAUGGGCGCAAGCCUGAUCCAGCCAUACCGCGUGAGUGGAGAAGGCCUUCGGGUUGUAAAGCUCUUUCAGCCGGAAAGAAAUCGCUCUGGUUAAUACCUUGUGUGGAUGACGGUACCGGAAGAAGAAGCACCGGCUAACUACGUGCCAGCAGCCGCGGUAAUACGUAGGGUGCGAGCGUUAAUCGGAAUUACUGGGCGUAAAGCGUGCGCAGGCGGUUUUUUAAGCCAGAUGUGAAAUCCCCGGGCUCAACCUGGGAACUGCAUUUGGAACUGGAAGACUAGAGUGUAGCAGAGGGGGGUAGAAUUCCACGUGUAGCAGUGAAAUGCGUAGAUAUGUGGAGGAAUACCAAUGGCGAAGGCAGCCCCCUGGGUUAACACUGACGCUCAUGCACGAAAGCGUGGGGAGCAAACAGGAUUAGAUACCCUGGUAGUCCACGCCCUAAACGAUGUCAACUAGGUGUUGGGGAAGGAGACUUCUUUAGUACCGCAGCUAACGCGUGAAGUUGACCGCCUGGGGAGUA
This 879-nucleotide ribosomal RNA is filed under the name uncultured bacterium. RNAcentral describes it as "bacterial SSU rRNA". It matches the Rfam family "Bacterial small subunit ribosomal RNA", at positions 11 to 882 of the family's 1533-position model. The record is from RNAcentral.